GUAGCUGGGACUAUAGGCGCCCGCCACCGCGCCCGGCUAAUUUUUGUAUUUUUUUAGUAGAGAAGAACAUGAACUUUCAUGUCCCUAAGUUUCAUUGAAGAAAGCACAGGCCUCUUUGCUUAGUGGUCUGUAAAGCCUAAAAGAAGGUGGUCUGGUUGUUUUCCUGUUUGUCCAAAUGUCGUGAGAAUGAUGACAUUAAUAAGAAAAGUUUCUAGGGGCUUGCUAUUUCAUGUCGCUCAAGGUAGCAGAUUCUAACUCUCGGAACUGUAGGCUGUGGGUUACAGAUUCCUUAAAAUGCCUCACUGCGUGGCAGACCUGAUGUGCGUGGCAGAUUACCCUGCUUGAAGGGAGUCAUGCUGUCCUGGCAAAGGCAGUAACCUGUGUACUUGGGGAACUGGUAAAGAUACACCCUUAAGGAGCUGAGAUGAUUGCAGAGUCAUAAACUCUUAAGUCUAUGUGCCACUGGACAUUUGCAGAGAUGAUCAUACUCACUUUCCCUCCCCCCACCACUCUUCCUUUCAGUUUCCUUUUUAUUUUUUUUUCUCCCUUUCCUGUUAAAAGUAUUAGUAUGUUUAACAUAGUGUUAGGUGACAGAUAAGCUGGAAGAACUAGUAUUGUAAAGGAACACUGAUGUAUACCGGAGCCUACUAGCUCUCAAUCCAUUGCCCCAGACUUGGGGAGAGAGAGCACAUUCUGUAUCCAGAGAAAUAAGAAUAUGCAGUUUAUGGUUGUCCUCUGGACAUUAACUGCCUGUGAAGGUAAGGCAUAUGCCAAAGGCAGUGAUAGAUUCACCAGGAGAUGAUAUGUGACUUUCUUGUAUUUUAAAGCUCUGCUUCUGUUUUAGAAAAAAAUAUCCUAUACUCUCAUCUCCCUUAGCGAGAUCAGGGCCCUAUUUUCACUGAAUCUGCAAGAAAAAAGAAAUUAUGUGAUGGGUAUGACUAGGGCCGUUAGUUUGGUAGGGGGCUAAUUCUGCUAAUCUUGCUUUUGAGACUUGGUGCAAGUAAGUUACAUUUCUCUUUGGUUCUCAUAUAUGUAUUUUUCUGCAGCUAUGCAGUAUGAAUGUGAAGUUGUCAUAGCUGACUCUGUUGGGCACAGUACCAGAGUUCCUCUCAUGAGUGGGAAUUGUCUGUUACACCAGGAACCUGUACUGUACAGUCUCCAUGCUCACCCAUGACUCUGUGACAUACAACGUGAAAGUCAUGGACGCUCAAGAAGGGAAGGAGAGAUUACUUAGCUCUCACUGUGGGGCGGGCAACGUUGUAACUUUCACAUAACUUAAAGAGGUUAUGAUAAUGACAGCGCCGGGACAAGUGAGAGCCAGAAAGGCACUGGGCAACUCUGUGCCUUGCUGAGGAAAAAUAACUAAACAUAGGCAAAGGAGAUCCUAAGAAGCCUAGAGGCAAGAUGUUGUCAUACGCAUUUUUUAUGCAAACUUGUUGGGAGGAGCAUAAAAAGAAGCAUCCAGAUGCUUCAGUCAACUUCUCAAUUUUCUAAGAAGUGCUCAGAGAGGUGGAAGACCAUGUCUGCUAAACAGAAGGGAAAAUUUGAAGAUAUGGCAAAGGCAGACAAGAUCCAUUACGAAAGAGAAAUGAAAACCUAUAUCCCUCCUGAAGGGGAGACAAAAAAGAAGUUCAAGGAUUCCAAUGCACCCAAGAGGUCUCCUUUGGCCUUCUUCCUGUUGUAUUCUGAGUAUCACCCAAAAAUCAAAGAACAUCCUGGCCUGUCCAUUGAUGAUAUUGCGAAGAAACUGUGAGAGAUGUGGAAUAACACUGCUGCAGAUGACAAGCAGCCUUAUGAAAAGAAGCCUGCGAAGCUGAAGGAAAAAUACGAAAAAGAUACUGCUACAUAUUGAGCUAAAGGAAAGCCUGAUGCAGCAAAAAAGGGAGUUGUCAAGGCUGAAAAAGCAAGAAAAAGAAGGAAGAUGAAGAGGAUGAGGAGGAGGAAGAUGAAGAAGAUGAUGAUGAUGAAUAAGUUCUAGCACAGAUUUUUUCAUGUCUAUAAAGCAUUUAACCCCCUGUAUACAACUCACUCCUUUUAAAGAAAAAAAUUGAACUGUAAGGCUGUGUAAGAAUUUUUUAAAACUGUACAGUGUCUUCUUUUGUAUAGUUAACACACUACCAAAUGUGUCUUUAGAUAGCCCUGUCCUGGUGGUAUUUUCAUAGUCACUAACCUUGCCUGGUACAGUAUAGGGGUUGUAAAUUGGCAUAAAAAUUUAAAGCAGGUUCUCGUUGGUGUACAGCACAAGUAAGUUAUAUAUGGGGAUAGUAGUUUUUUCAUUUUCAGUUGUCUCUGAUGCAGCUUAUAUGAAACAAUUGUUCUGUUAACUGAAUACCACUCUGUAAUUGCAAAAAAAAAAAAAAAAAAGUUGCAGCUGUUUUGUUGGCAUUCUGAAUGCUUCUAAGUAAAUACAUUUUUUUUAAAUUAGUUAAAAAAAAGAUGUUAUGAGCAUGGGGAGGCUAGAGCCAGGCUGCCCAGGUUUAAUUCUUGGCUCCGCCACCUACUAGUUGUGUGACCUCGGGCAAUUUAUUUAACCUCUCUGGGUUACAGUUUUAUUAACUGUAAAAGAGGGGAUAAUAAUAGUAUCUAUGUACCAGAGUCGUCGUGAGAAUUAAAUGAACCAAAAUAGGUAAAACAUUGGCACUGCCAUAGUCUUCUCUAAGGUGCAUUUAGGGUUCUUCUCAUUGCAAUUUCUUAUCUGGUUCUGGAAAGGAAAUACAAACACAUCAUUCUCUAUACUUUCUGAUUCUUUGAAGGCAAAAAUUCCUUCAAGAAAAUGUUAGAUGACAGUCCUCACUUGGCAGUACAUUCAUGUAUUGACUUUCCCAAUAGAUGUAUCUAACGACAAUCAAUGCUCUUUGGAAAGCCAUUAACGUGAGAGGCACGAUGUUCAGUCAUGACAGGGUAGUAUAUAUGUCAGUCAUCUGUCUACAAGAGUCCCCAAGGACUUGUUGAUACAAUAGCUCAUAAUCACUCUAAGGAUCAGUCUAGCAAUUUGCAUUUUUAAAAGUCCCUAACUACCUAUUUUCACAAUAGACAGUCCCUGUACUCCCAUAGCUCCAGAUGGGAUCAUUCUCCUUUCUAAAGAGGGCAUUUUAACUUCCUUUCUGAGUAAUCCUUGCUUUAGCAUUAUGAAUGAGUCCUCAGAAAGUAUUGCUCAAUGGACAGAUCUCCCUAAUAUUCAAGCGCUCCCUCCCCACACAUAAAAUAUUGGUAAAUCUGGCCCCAUUUAGGGGGAUUGUUUUGUUUGUUUUUCAUUUGAUAUUCCUCAAAUUUGAUAGAAAACUAUACCUGGUUAUGUUUGACUCUACUAGUGUGCCUUAGUGACCUGCCAGCAAUCCUGAGUGCUCUAGUUUGGAGAUCUUACAGGGUGGAAUCGCCACACAGACCUCCACUACAGAAGUUGCCUCUGACUCUGAGAGAGCCCAUGCAUGUAUGGUGACUUAGAGUCUAAGAAUUUGGGAGACUCUACAGCAAGUACCAGUCCAGAGCUUCUGGAUACAGUGAAAGCUCUGAGACCCUGUUUGGGGCAUAAUGCAGACUCAGGAAUUAUCAUGUUUGACAACCUAUUAUGAAUGUGCUCAAACUUUCUGGAGUUACAGAACCUUUAGAUUAAAAAAAAAAAACAAAACUGCCAGGCAUGGUGGCUCAUGCCUGUAAUCCCAGCACUUUGGAAGGCAGAGGC
Non-coding RNA from Chlorocebus sabaeus (green monkey), 3682 nucleotides. The record is from RefSeq and is a predicted model, not a curated record. Lineage: Eukaryota; Metazoa; Chordata; Mammalia; Primates; Cercopithecidae.